GGGAGAUAGGGUCUCUCUCUCUGCCACCCAGGCCAGAGUGCAGUUGACGCAGGGCAGGGGAGCCCCGAAAUGGAGCAUAGUGUGUCUGGAACUGGUGGGUUCUUGGUCUCACUGACUUCAAGAAUGAAGCCACGGACCCUCGCGGUGAGUGUCACAGUUCUUAAAGGCGGCGUGUCCGGAGUUUGUUCCUUCUGAUGCUCAGAUGUGUUCAGAGUUUCUUCCUUCUGGUGGGUUGGUGGUCUCGCUGGCUUCAGGAGUGAA
This 261-nucleotide long non-coding RNA is filed under the name Homo sapiens (human). RNAcentral describes it as "non-protein coding lnc-SLC2A9-2:1". Lineage: Eukaryota; Metazoa; Chordata; Mammalia; Primates; Hominidae. The record is from RNAcentral.